UGGGGAAUAUUGGACAAUGGGCGGAAGCCUGAUCCAGCCAUGCCGCGUGUGUGAAGAAGGCCUUUUGGUUGUAAAGCACUUUAAGCGAGGAGGAGGCUACUUGGAUUAAUACUCUAGGAUAGUGGACGUUACUCGCAGAAUAAGCACCGGCUAACUCUGUGCCAGCAGCCGCGGUAAUACAGAGGGUGCGAGCGUUAAUCGGAUUUACUGGGCGUAAAGCGUGCGUAGGCGGCUUCUUAAGUCGGAUGUGAAAUCCCUGAGCUUAACUUAGGAAUUGCAUUGGAUACUGGGUAGCUAGAGUAUGGGAGAGGAUGGUAGAAUUCCAGGUGUAGCGGUGAAAUGCGUAGAGAUCUGGAGGAAUACCGAUGGCGAAGGCAGCCAUCUGGCCUAAUACUGACGCUGAGGUACGAAAGCAUGGGGAGCAAACAGG
RNAcentral lists this ribosomal RNA (430 nucleotides) under Bacillota bacterium. RNAcentral's name for it is "Firmicutes bacterium partial 16S ribosomal RNA". It matches the Rfam family "Bacterial small subunit ribosomal RNA", at positions 355 to 776 of the family's 1533-position model. Lineage: Bacteria; Bacillati; Bacillota. The record is from RNAcentral.